UGGUGUACCUGAAUAAAUAAAGAAAUUUUUAUUGCAUUGACUAGGAAUGGGUUUUAUUUAAUUAUGAUCUUGAAUGUUUGUGUCUUGAGGGAUACAUCAAAUGAUUAAGUAAUUGAACUGCAUUGUUUUGAUUUAAUCUAUGUCUUGUGAGCAUGACAGAAUAGGUGCUUGAUAUGAAUGCCCUGGUAAUUGUCUAAUUUCAAAAAAAAAA
RNAcentral lists this unclassified non-coding RNA (211 nucleotides) under Hevea brasiliensis (rubber tree). The record is from RNAcentral. Lineage: Eukaryota; Viridiplantae; Streptophyta; Magnoliopsida; Malpighiales; Euphorbiaceae.